Molecule: long non-coding RNA, 1626 nt
Organism: Siniperca chuatsi (mandarin fish)
Lineage: Eukaryota; Metazoa; Chordata; Actinopteri; Centrarchiformes; Sinipercidae
Exons: 3
Source: RefSeq, a predicted model, not a curated record
GCAUAACAUACUCAGCGCUGUGUGUCCAUCUGGAGUGUUCUGGUGUGAGUUGCAGAGUUUUGCAGAUAUCAGCCACAGAGAUGUCUGCACUAUUUUGAAUAUAAUGGGACUGUAUGGCGCUCGGCCUCAAAAGCGCCAAAAAAAUACAUUCGGAAAACUCAACGGCAACGUCUCUUUCCAGAAAUCACGACCCGGUUACUCAAGACAAUCCAGUUGUGAGCAGCUUCAUGUAGGGACUAUCUGUAGAAAGAAAAUAGUCCCGUCGGUUCAACAGUUUGUGGCAGUCCAUCCAAUAGUUUUCAUUUUUUUAAGCGCUCAUCAAGGAGAAAUUUUGGCUUGAUGGUGGCAGGAGAAGAAAGGUCAGAAGGUAACCAAAAACUGGAGGAUUCAUGUUCUGGGGACCACAAAUAUCUACAGCAAACUGAUAUUCCACCAUUAGGCUCCACUGCUAGUGUCAAGGACUUCAACUGGAGAUCCACUCCAAAAACACCAAAACCUAGAUAAGCAGUUUGGAAGGCAGACAUCAGUGGAGCGGACAUUCAGCUGCAUGUUAAAGGAUGAAGGAGCAGCUGCUGCAGCCAAUCACACUGUAGAGUGCAGACCGGGGAUUUGCCUGACACAGUAAACAGGAAGUAUAAUGUUGCUAUGGAUUCAGUGAGUUAGCUGUGGGCUACAACUUGACCCCCGUUUUUUUUUUUUUUUUUACCUAUAUUCAUCUACAUUUUGGCAAAGUGGCUCCAUUAAAAGUAGCCGAACCAGCAGUCAGCAGCUCCUGUCUGCAGUGGACCCGUGGACGGACAGACAGCUGUCUCUGGAUCACUGCGAGACUGAAGGAAACUUAAAAAUAUGAUGAUUCUCAGGCAGGUUCUGCAGUUAUAAGGAGCACCUUUUAUUCUAUGAUUUCUAAGCCGGUUUAUGGACGUUUCUCUGCGAUGGACUUCAGAGAUAAUGAUAUCCUCGGAAAGUGUAAGUCACACCGAAUCUAAAGACAUGCGUAUCAUGUCUGUGCGUUCAGGCUAGACUGAGUUAUGUCUCAGAGAAGAAGUGCGAUUUUUGAUGCUAACUGCAUCACUCCGUGGCAAGGGGUUACAUAAAGUUCUGUGGUUUUCUGAUUACUGACCCACCGAUGGCUUGCUGGGGUUUCACACCAACAAAUAUUAAGAAAUAUUAAGAACGCACAUAUAUAAAAACACUGCAAGUGUCUCAUUAUUUUAUAAAAUAAACCUUUUAUUUUAUCAAAAGUUGAUCAUGACAGCAAUAGGAUCAUGACAAUAAUAUAUAAUGCACAGAAAUGGAAUAAACAGCAACAGAGUAUAUGAAAAACUAGUGCAAAAAAAUCACAAAUACAAAAAUAUAUUGCACUUUGAAGUUUUAGGUGGAAGAAGUCAUGUUUGAACAACAUUCUCAGUUUGAUAUAUUCAUCUGUAAACAUUUAUCUUUUACGCUUUGUCAUUCUUUUCGUGAGCACAAAGCUUCUUAACAUCCAUGUUUUGGAAAGAUCUACAGCAAGAGAAGCUUUAGAGCAGAAACCAACAGGCGACUUGUGGUACUUUAUCUUGGUUGGUCGGAGUUGUGCUUUACUCUAGACCCAGUCUGGGUUUAUACCUGGUCAUUUAAACCAACACA